Molecule: long non-coding RNA, 699 nt
Organism: Sebastes umbrosus (honeycomb rockfish)
Lineage: Eukaryota; Metazoa; Chordata; Actinopteri; Perciformes; Sebastidae
Exons: 3
Source: RefSeq, a predicted model, not a curated record
UGUUCCAAAUUGCAUACUUCUGUACUACAUACUCAUUAUUUUGAGUGCAUAGUACGUUCCAAUUGGGUAGUACGGCAAAUGCAGUGCACUCAAAGUACCCGGAUGUUGUACUCAAAACGGUCAGAUCGUUGAGUGUGGAACGCUGGACACUUUCCACACUCAUUUGCCUCCAUCUUGGCUACGUAGCAGAAGGGGCGUAGCCACGACCACUAUUCAAACUUUUGAAAUGGCGGCAGAAAAUGCAGGAGCUGUUGCGGGGGUGAAUGCCGCACCUUAUAAAUGGAUGGAGGAGGACACAAGAUCCCUUAUCACCUGGCGUGCUGCGUAAUGCAGGAUAUGAGACCUACAUUGUGGAGAAAGGCCUGGAGGGGAGGGUGACCCCACUUUUCCUAAAGAAAAAAUGGGAGAACCUAAAACAAAAAUACAAGGUUGGUUGGUUAGCUUGUCUAUUUCAAUAUUCCACAUGUCACUAUCCUUUAUGGAUGUGAAUUCUAAAUUAUUGUUUGAGCUGAUGAAAAGGCAACUUCUAAAUAUAUCAGUGACUCUUUGACAUUACUUACUUACUUUUCUCUUGUGCAAACAUAACACCAGCAGAAGCAUUCAACAGUGAUGACUCUCCACUAUUACUAUUUCAAUAUAAUCUGGAAAUGUUCUCCUCUGUUUUUGGCUGUAUUUCCUCCACAGGACCUGAAGUGCCCC